AACCCAGUUUCGGGGACCUUGGUACAGGCAGGCCGAGAAUCCCCUCUUUACACCCGGGGUGCUUGAUGCGAACCGCGUCGCGCUCCACACCGCUUUCGGGAACCUCGGUACAGGCAGGCCGGGGAUUCCCUCUUUAACACCGAAGCCUCUGGCUUCACCCCGUUUUGGGAGCCCUGGUACAGGCAGGCCGGGAACUCCCUCUUUUAUUGCUCUUGG
RNAcentral lists this non-coding RNA (216 nucleotides) under Pseudomonas marginalis. Its description in RNAcentral is "NrsZ". It matches the Rfam family "Nitrogen regulated small RNA". Rfam says of the family: Its transcription is induced during nitrogen limitation by the NtrB/C two-component system (an important regulator of nitrogen assimilation and swarming motility) together with the alternative sigma factor RpoN (a global regulator involved in nitrogen metabolism). Lineage: Bacteria; Pseudomonadati; Pseudomonadota; Gammaproteobacteria; Pseudomonadales; Pseudomonadaceae. The record is from RNAcentral.